This 250-nucleotide ribosomal RNA is filed under the name uncultured bacterium. RNAcentral's name for it is "partial 16S ribosomal RNA". It matches the Rfam family "Bacterial small subunit ribosomal RNA", at positions 812 to 1058 of the family's 1533-position model. The record is from RNAcentral.
AAUGCCAGCCGUUAGUGGGUUUACUCACUAGUGGCGCAGCUAACGCUUUAAGCAUUCCGCCUGGGGAGUACGGUCGCAAGAUUAAAACUCAAAGGAAUUGACGGGGGCCCGCACAAGCGGUGGAGCAUGUGGUUUAAUUCGACGCAACGCGCAGAACCUUACCAGCCCUUGACAUCCCGGUCGCGGACUCCAGAGACGGAGUUCUUCAGUUCGGCUGGACCGGAGACAGGUGCUGCAUGGCUGUCGUCAG